AGAACUGAAGACAAAAUUUCUCAGAAACGAGUUUCGCAACUCCCUCAUGCGAUAGCAGUGAUUCAGUGAAUCCGUGGAACUCUGAACCACGAGAGGAACGUGUACCGCUGCUCGUUGGCGUUUCACGCGUGCGUAUGUAGCUGUUCGUGGAAUGGACGGUGAUGAUGAGUGGGGUAUAUAAAAUGAACGGUGGACAUUCGAUGGGCCAUGGGAAUGCGGCGGCAA
RNAcentral lists this long non-coding RNA (225 nucleotides) under Elaeis guineensis (African oil palm). RNAcentral's name for it is "long non-coding RNA (EGUI_LNC030391)". Lineage: Eukaryota; Viridiplantae; Streptophyta; Magnoliopsida; Arecales; Arecaceae. The record is from RNAcentral.